UCUGCUUUAGAAGCAUGACUGCACCCUGAUUUAACCCGGGAUAAAGUGCACGUGGACACCAGGGAGAUGGAAACCCUACUGUGGCAUGUAGGAAUUCGAAAUGUUCUAAUUAAUCUUGUAAACCCAGCAGAGCAGCAAGUGGCGAGGCCUAGCGUUAUUGCAGCCAGGAAUGGGGACAGACUGGGACUGCACAGCUCCUUGUGUUCCACGUUCCCAGCAACUCCUGAGUGCUUGCCAGUGGGGGGGACACUGCCUGCAAAGGCUCGGUUUGUCAUUUUGCGCCAAGCGGGGAGAGAGAAGGUGCUGUACACAGAAUGGACUUUACCAGCUGUUAAAGGUGAUAGCCUCCUCUGGGCCCCCCAUGUCUGCUCUGCUGAUGCCAUCUGACAGUUCCGCUUCCCAUCAGAAGCACAAGUCAGAGGGGAAGGGGGAGAAGAAGUGGACUUGCUCCACAAACGCCACCUGGGAUGGCUGGUGCUUCCCCAAAGCCCCGGGACUCAGUUGCACAAAGGCUGCAGAGUCUCUGUAAGUGCUCAGCCUCAAAACCCUGGGAAAGGAGGGGGGGAGAACCAGCUGUUUUUAAAAAAUGCAUAUAACCCUGGAGGACUCGCAAGUCCUGGGGAGCGUUUUCUUUUAAUGAUCAUUUCCGAGUCCCGCUGCUCGUACUAGGAGGGGCCCUUCAGGGAAGGACACUCUCUCCUGUCCUUUCAUGCACAAAUGAAUCGAUUAGGAAACUUUGCAAGGAUGUAAUGUGACCACGAACAAAGCGUUGGGAGAAAACAGCUUUCGUUUUCCUUUCUUUUACGCCUGACAAUGGAAUAUGCAGCGAGAGCUCUCGCUGAACUAAGGGCAUGGGCCGGCAUUAAAAGGCAAUUAAAAACCGAUAAAUACUUUUUUCAGCUCUGGCUCU
Molecule: long non-coding RNA, 910 nt
Organism: Chrysemys picta bellii (western painted turtle)
Lineage: Eukaryota; Metazoa; Chordata; Testudines; Emydidae
Source: RefSeq, a predicted model, not a curated record